RNAcentral lists this transfer RNA (63 nucleotides) under Nepiomorpha sp. NespEL. RNAcentral describes it as "tRNA-Pro". The record is from RNAcentral. Lineage: Eukaryota; Metazoa; Arthropoda; Insecta; Psocodea; Elipsocidae.
CAGAAUAUAGUUUAAUGAAAAUAUUAAUUUUGGAGAUUAAUGAUAAUUAAUAAUUUAUUCUGA